This 71-nucleotide transfer RNA is filed under the name Bos taurus (domestic cattle). It matches the Rfam family "tRNA". From Rfam's summary of the family: Transfer RNA (tRNA) molecules are approximately 80 nucleotides in length. Their secondary structure includes four short double-helical elements and three loops (D, anti-codon, and T loops). Lineage: Eukaryota; Metazoa; Chordata; Mammalia; Artiodactyla; Bovidae. The record is from Rfam by way of RNAcentral. RNAcentral also lists the same sequence under 4 other names.
UCCUGGUGGCUCAGAUGGAAAAGAAUCUGCCUGCUAUGCAGGAGACCUAAGUUCAAACCUUGGAUCAGGAA